Molecule: long non-coding RNA, 346 nt
Filed under: Arabidopsis lyrata
Lineage: Eukaryota; Viridiplantae; Streptophyta; Magnoliopsida; Brassicales; Brassicaceae
Description: long non-coding RNA (ALYR_LNC001459)
Source: RNAcentral
GGGUAUUUGAGAUUGUGAAAUUAGGAGAGACAACAAGGUUAGAUGAGGGGUAGUCCUCCAUCAACGAUGAAGAUGACGCAGGAGCAUCCUCAAGGUUUGCUAAACAAGAGAAAUAGUUUCUUUUAGUGGUGACUAACUGUUUUUUGACAACAUGGUUUUUGGCUGCAGGUUUUGAAGAAACUUGGGUCCAAGAAGAGUCCUCUUUGAUAGGAACAGAGACCUGAGAAGUAGGAAUGAUUCUAUUCUGAGCCGGAAGAGCAAGUAAAUGUGUAAUCUCAUCUUUCCUUAUUGUGAUGACAUUUGUGUUAUCAGCUUCAAGAGGAACUGAACCUCCAACAACAUCCGC